Molecule: ribosomal RNA, 292 nt
Filed under: uncultured bacterium
Lineage: Bacteria
Description: partial 16S ribosomal RNA
Rfam family: Bacterial small subunit ribosomal RNA
Source: RNAcentral
GUGCCAGCCGCCGCGGUAAUACGUAGGGCGCAAGCGUUGUCCGGAAUUAUUGGGCGUAAAGAGCUCGUAGGUGGUUCGUCGCGUCUGCUGUGAAAGUCCGAGGCUUAACCUCGGAUCUGCAGUGGGUACGGGCGGACUAGAGUGCGGUAGAGGAGAUCGGAAUUCCUGGUGUAGCGGUGGAAUGCGCAGAUAUCAGGAGGAACACCGGUGGCGAAGGCGGAUCUCUGGGCCGUAACUGACGCUGAGGAGCGAAAGCAUGGGGAGCGAACAGGCUUAGAUACCCUGGUAGUCC